AUAUAUAACACGAACAUCUAGUGCAUGAUUAAGGUAGAUUGAUUAAU
This 47-nucleotide non-coding RNA is filed under the name Trypanosoma brucei brucei. Lineage: Eukaryota; Euglenozoa; Kinetoplastea; Trypanosomatida; Trypanosomatidae. The record is from RNAcentral.